Molecule: long non-coding RNA, 3700 nt
Organism: Passer domesticus (house sparrow)
Lineage: Eukaryota; Metazoa; Chordata; Aves; Passeriformes; Passeridae
Exons: 4
Source: RefSeq, a predicted model, not a curated record
CAGGCUCCAUUGUACUGCAGGCUGUUUGCAGUGCUGCCUCAGAACAACGUGCAAUAAACACAGAAUCCAUGGGAAAGAGGGACAGAAACAGGAACACUUCAGCAGUGAAGUGCCAUACUCUGCUGAGCAAACUUGGCAUCUCAUCAAGCUGACUUAUUUGCCACUGAGGACUCCCAGAAUUCACCCUCUGUGAACCAAUACCUCAAAUGUCUCAGCUCACAGACUCCCUACGUAUUCCUAAGGUGUGCUCUGCAUGAUGAAAUGACCAGGAGAACUCUCAGGACUGAUCUCUGUGAAAGGAUAGAGCUAAAUCCCUAAGAAGUGUCAAGCCCAGCCCAGGAUUUGGAGCAGGAUGCCAGAAGACUAGGACAGAGGAAAUAUGGACAGAGGAAUGUCUUCAUGUGGCUUAAUGCCUACAUAAAUCCUUCCUCUCUUUGGCAUGUGACUUCACUGCUGAUGUCCCACCCAUCUCAGGACAUCACCUUGGGAGUUAUUGAGGAGUCUUGACUACAAUUUAAGACUGUGUUCUCAUCUGAAGAUGAAGAAAUACUGCCCUGUCCCUGGACAGCUGCCACGUGAUUUUGUUUUGAAGCUGAAUGACAUAUUUGGGGGGGAAAAUGGAAAAUUAUUUUGGUAUUGCUGGAAUUUGGGUGGGUCAAGAGCCACAGAAGGGCUCUUGGAGCAACCAAACCCCAGUGUGCAGGGUGAGAGAGCAGCUGGGGAUUCUGAUCUCAGCCCUGGUGAUGCCCCCAGCUCUGACAGUCCCCCAGAGCCACCGAGACAUCCUCCAGGACAGCACUGGGCAGGCACCCUGUGCCUCAGUUGCUGCAGUCUCCAUGCCACCCUCAGCUUGGCUGAGGCACAAUGUCCCUGACCUGCACCGUCCCACCACCUGCUGUCACAGUCCUGAGUCAUACCUAAAAAAAAUCGCCUACUCACACCGUUUUUUAGAGAAAACAACAAGGAAAAUGAAAUCCGCCCAAACCUUUCCUCUCCAGUGUGGAUAUAUUCCAUCCCGCCUUCCCACAGAGACCCACACCAAAGAUUGCACAGCACGUUACACAACACAGCACAGAAAUGCUCCUUCAGCAGCCCCUCCUUCCCUCUUCUCUCAGAAGCUGGGCUACUUCUCCCCAGUUCCUCCACUUUCCUCCGCUUUCCACUCAGAUGCUGCUCCAGCUCCCCCCUCCACUUCCACCUCCACAAUCAUUUUCUGUCCAUCCUCUCUUCUCUAAAGGAGGUUAAAAGGCAACAACUGAUGGGAUCCCUCUGUGAUGGAGGAGGAGAAGGAUGCAUCAGUCUUCAGGCAGAGCAUGGAGAGCUUGCAAAGAGGGGGAAGAAGCCCCUCUGCUGUUUUUGUUACGCAAAUAUUUGUUUUCUGUACCCAAAUGUGUAACAGAAAAUUAAUCAGUUCACCUUUGUUAAAGUAAUUUUGCAUCCCACAAAUGCAGGAGCCAGAUGGUGUACUUUCUUUGUCUUAAAAGAUUAAAAAAUGGGAAAGAAAGGAAACGGCUAGGAACUAAUCCUCAGUCUGGAACACAGUAAUACAUCCACAUACCCAGUUAUCCAGGCUUGCAGGGCCUGGGCAGGAGCAAACACAGGGACCCAGCAGACUGAAGAGAGUGCAGAGAUCUCCAGCCCUGUCACUUUGUGGCAGCUUGCGGGGGGGAUUUCUCCCUGUGUUUCCAGAAGAUGACAAAUUACAGCUUCUCCCAGGGCUGUAGCUUGGACACACCAGGCAGGAUUUUCUAGAACCAGCUGAAGCAGAACUUUGCUCUGGGUCCCACUGCUGGCAAUGGCAGCUGUCUAAAGGGGAAAGCUGCCAUGCACAAACACUGGGAAACAGACUUGGAAAUGUCAUCAGGCAGAUCAUGGAUGUGACCAGGGGCAGAACUGAAGACUUUGGAAGUUCAACUCUUCAGCCAAAUCUCCAGUUUUCAUAGCUGAGAGCAAGGAGCAGUUUGGUUCUCCCACUUGAGCUUGUUUGCUCAUAUUCUGGGAGGAGUGUGGUUGGACUGUGGCUGGAGGAGGGUUGAAGGACACCUGGAAUUCUGCUCUUUGCUGGCCCCGGGAGGCUUCCCAGCUCUGUCACCAGUUCCUGGUUUGGCCUUGGGAAGGUGAUGUAAACCCUCUGCCCCUCAUGCCACCAGUGUAAAUAAGUGCAACCAGAACCUUAUUUUGCUAGAAACCUGCUUUGGACUUUAACAGAGAUAACAGAGAAUUAACUUCAUGAUCAAAAGUUUUAAACAUACUGAAAGUAAGUGACAACAAAGAAAGAAAAACCAGCCAAGAACAAAAGUCUGUGAUGGUCUGAAACUCAUUUCUUGCUCUGGUAAGUAGGUGAUAAAUCUUUACUACUUUAGUAACAUUUGGUAAUUUGUGUAUGCAGAGAAAAUUUCAAUAAAGAGCCUUAGGACACUGCAUGAGACAGCACGGAGCAGUCCUCAGCAAAGCAUUUUGCACAGACAGGAUGAGGGCUACAGGACACCACCACAGAGAAGACGAAAAAUCCCACGACAAUGAGCUGGCCUGUGGAGAUCAUCUCAGCCCUCCCAGCUGUGGCAACAGCAGCAAUUCUCCCCUUGCACAGAGGGCUCUUGGUGCUGCAAGAGCACAUUUGUGUCCAGCAGUGUGACACUGCCUGUGGUUGGGGCAGGAUUAGCAGGGCUGAAGGGAAGAAGGCAGGCAAGAACUUGAGUAAUCACAUGUUCUGCUUCUCAUCCUCCUCGGGCUCUUCUCUUUCCUACUCAUUCCUUCCUGAAGUUUCAGCAGUUAUGGGACCACAUCAUCUCUCUUUCCUCAUCACUGACCAGUAACUGCACUGAGACCUUUUCCCAGCAUGGGCUUUUCUGCUGCACAGUGAAGAUUGGUUCUCUCACUGGUAAUUAAACCCAGCGGCAAUCCAGUGUUCUGGCCUGGGAGAGGUGAUACAUCUCAGCACAAAUCCAAUCAUGUUUUCCCUCCUCCCCAGCACAGUAACUGCACUUGGCAGCCCUCACAUCAUGAAAAAUUCCUGAAUUUGAUCAAGACAAUAAGCCACUCCUUUCUGGGUAGCUGGGAGAAAACAUCCUCCAUGCCAAACAUACAUAUUGUAAGCAGAAAUAAAUCAGCUCCUCUGCAAGCAUGAGGCUAGAAACCAUGGCUCCCUAGCCUGAGAAGCCCUUCCCUGAUGGUGGAUGGUCCAGAGACAAACUCCUACUCCAGUGUACUCCAAACAGUUCUCACAUCACAUUUCUCCUGCAGCUGGGAAGGGAAAGAUGCUGUUCCCCCAGGGACGCUGCCAUCAGGCAGGCAGGACAGGGCAGACAGGUACAGAGGGAGUGUGCAAGACAAGGGAACAGUGUGAGCACAAAUCACAGGAGAAAAGGCUGGAAGGGCACUCCUGGCUCAUUGAGUCUCUCCCCAGAGAUGAGUACAGGAUUAGCCUCUAUGCUAAACCCAAGCGUUUUUGUCUAGUUAUUUCCUGAACUUCUUUAAUGACAGGCUUUCAGCAGCCUACCCCUGGCAAAUUAUUCCAUUGUUUAAAUUAUGACCCUGCUGGAAAAAAAAAUGUUCUGAGGUCAAACCUAAAUUGACUAUUAUUUUCUCUCCCAUAUUUUAUGCACUUAUCAGUCAGUCUUUCAGUUGCCUUCUGUCUGGGUCCCUGUAUUAAGUUUCUUUAAUCUAACACCAGAGGUCACAGCCUGUGGUAUUUAUCAUC